UACAUGCAGUCGAGCGACAGACAAGGAGCUUGCUCCUUUGACGUUAGCGGCGGACGGGUGAGUAACACGUGGGUAACCUACCUAUAAGACUGGGAUAACUUCGGGAAACCGGAGCUAAUACCGGAUAAUAUUUCGAACCGCAUGGUUCGAUAGUGAAAGAUGGUUUUGCUAUCACUUAUAGAUGGACCCGCGCCGUAUUAGCUAGUUGGUAAGGUAACGGCUUACCAAGGCGACGAUACGUAGCCGACCUGAGAGGGUGAUCGGCCACACUGGAACUGAGACACGGUCCAGACUCCUACGGGAGGCAGCAGUAGGGAAUCUUCCGCAAUGGGCGAAAGCCUGACGGAGCAACGCCGCGUGAGUGAUGAAGGUCUUCGGAUCGUAAAACUCUGUUAUUAGGGAAGAACAUACGUGUAAGUAACUGUGCACGUCUUGACGGUACCUAAUCAGAAAGCCACGGCUAACUACGUGCCAGCAGCCGCGGUAAUACGUAGGUGGCAAGCGUUAUCCGGAAUUAUUGGGCGUAAAGCGCGCGUAGGCGGUUUUUUAAGUCUGAUGUGAAAGCCCACGGCUCAACCGUGGAGGGUCAUUGGAAACUGGAAAACUUGAGUGCAGAAGAGGAAAGUGGAAUUCCAUGUGUAGCGGUGAAAUGCGCAGAGAUAUGGAGGAACACCAGUGGCGAAGGCGACUUUCUGGUCUGUAACUGACGCUGAUGUGCGAAAGCGUGGGGAUCAAACAGGAUUAGAUACCCUGGUAGUCCACGCCGUAAACGAUGAGUGCUAAGUGUUAGGGGGUUUCCGCCCCUUAGUGCUGCAGCUAACGCAUUAAGCACUCCGCCUGGGGAGUACGACCGCAAGGUUGAAACUCAAGGAAUUGACGGGGACCCGCACAAGCGGUGGAGCAUGUGGGUUUAAUUCGAAGCAACGCGAAGAACCUUACCAAAUCUUGACAUCCUUUGACAACUCUAGAGAUAGAGCUUUCCCCUUCGGGGGACAAAGUGACAGGUGGUGCAUGGUUGUCGUCAGCUCGUGUCGUGAGAUGUUGGGUUAAGUCCCGCAACGAGCGCAACCCUUAAGCUUAGUUGCCAUCAUUAAGUUGGGCACUCUAAGUUGACUGCCGGUGACAAACCGGAGGAAGGUGGGGAUGACGUCAAAUCAUCAUGCCCCUUAUGAUUUGGGCUACACACGUGCUACAAUGGACAAUACAAAGGGCAGCGAAACCGCGAGGUCAAGCAAAUCCCAUAAAGUUGUUCUCAGUUCGGAUUGUAGUCUGCAACUCGACUACAUGAAGCUGGAAUCGCUAGUAAUCGUAGAUCAGCAUGCUACGGUGAAUACGUUCCCGGGUCUUGUACACACCGCCCGUCACACCACGAGAGUUUGUAACACCCGAAGCCGGUGGAGUAACCAUUUGGAGCUAGCCGUCGAAGGUGGGACAAAUGAUUGGGGUGAAGU
This 1451-nucleotide ribosomal RNA is filed under the name Staphylococcus haemolyticus. RNAcentral's name for it is "bacterial SSU rRNA". It matches the Rfam family "Bacterial small subunit ribosomal RNA". The record is from RNAcentral. Lineage: Bacteria; Bacillati; Bacillota; Bacilli; Caryophanales; Staphylococcaceae.